RNAcentral lists this ribosomal RNA (253 nucleotides) under uncultured bacterium. RNAcentral's name for it is "partial 16S ribosomal RNA". It matches the Rfam family "Bacterial small subunit ribosomal RNA", at positions 524 to 776 of the family's 1533-position model. The record is from RNAcentral.
UACGUAGGUGGCAAGCGUUGUCCGGAAUUAUUGGGCGUAAAGCGCGCGCAGGCGGUCCUUUAAGUCUGAUGUGAAAGCCCACGGCUCAACCGUGGAGGGUCAUUGGAAACUGGGGGACUUGAGUACAGAAGAGAAGAGUGGAAUUCCACGUGUAGCGGUGAAAUGCGUAGAGAUGUGGAGGAACACCAGUGGCGAAGGCGGCGACCUGGGCCAAUAUUGACGCUGAGGUGCGAAAGCGUGGGGAGCAAACAGG